GGAGGGUAUAGCUCAGUGGUAGAGCAUGUGCUUAGCAUGCACAAGGUCCUGGGUUCAAUCCCCAGUACCUCCA
RNAcentral lists this transfer RNA (73 nucleotides) under Vicugna pacos (alpaca). RNAcentral's name for it is "tRNA-Ala (AGC) (tRNA-Ala-AGC-32-1)". It matches the Rfam family "tRNA". From Rfam's summary of the family: Transfer RNA (tRNA) molecules are approximately 80 nucleotides in length. Their secondary structure includes four short double-helical elements and three loops (D, anti-codon, and T loops). Further hydrogen bonds mediate the characteristic L-shaped molecular structure. tRNAs have two regions of fundamental functional importance: the anti-codon, which is responsible for specific mRNA codon recognition, and the 3' end, to which the tRNAs corresponding amino acid is attached (by aminoacyl-tRNA synthetases). tRNAs cope with the degeneracy of the genetic code in two manners: having more than one tRNA (with a specific anti-codon) for a particular amino acid; and 'wobble' base-pairing, i.e. permitting non-standard base-pairing at the 3rd anti-codon position. Lineage: Eukaryota; Metazoa; Chordata; Mammalia; Artiodactyla; Camelidae. The record is from RNAcentral.